ACGGAGGGUGCAAGCGUUAAUCGGAAUUACUGGGCGUAAAGCGCACGCAGGCGGUUUGUUAAGUCAGAUGUGAAAUCCCCGGGCUCAACCUGGGAACUGCAUCUGAUACUGGCAAGCUUGAGUCUCGGAGAGGGAGGUAGAAUUCCAGGUGUAGCGGUAAAAUGCGUAGAGAUCUGGAGGAAUACCGAUUGCGAAGGCGGUCUACUGGACGAUGAUUGACGCUCAGGUGCGAAAGCGUGGGGAGCAAACAG
This 251-nucleotide ribosomal RNA is filed under the name uncultured prokaryote. RNAcentral describes it as "partial 16S rRNA". It matches the Rfam family "Bacterial small subunit ribosomal RNA", at positions 525 to 775 of the family's 1533-position model. The record is from RNAcentral.